This is a small nuclear RNA of Bison bison bison, 107 nucleotides long. Lineage: Eukaryota; Metazoa; Chordata; Mammalia; Artiodactyla; Bovidae. The record is from Ensembl.
GUGCUCACUUCAGCAGCACAUAUACUAAAAUUGGAACAAGAGUGAGAAGAUUAGCACGGCCUCUGUGCAAGGAUCACGUGCAACAUUGUGAAGCAUUCUGUGCUUUU